This is a long non-coding RNA of Hippopotamus amphibius kiboko, 1584 nucleotides long. RefSeq lists it as uncharacterized. The transcript is spliced from 3 exons. Lineage: Eukaryota; Metazoa; Chordata; Mammalia; Artiodactyla; Hippopotamidae. The record is from RefSeq and is a predicted model, not a curated record.
CAAGGGAGAGCCUGUCUUUCUCCUCUGUGCUACCUGGAGUAUGUUACCUAGAGCCCACCUACCAACUUAGACAAGCUGGCUGAUAAGUAGUAAGAAAGUAUAGAGGAUUACACGGCUUUUGACGAUCAGGCCUGAAAGUGGCAUCCUUCACUUCUGCCCACAUCCCAUUGACCAGACGGAGCAACAUGAUUCCACCCCAACUGCAAAGGAAAGAAAUGCCAUUAGGGGCCUCUAGCAAGCAUCAGCCGCAUGGCUCCAACUUCUUCAUGGAGGUAAGGGUUAUCUACGAAGGACAGGCUGGACGCCCACAGGACCACUUCAAACUUAGAGAACUGCUUCUCUGGAGCCUUGCAAGAGAACACGAGUAUUGUACUACAAUAUCGAAGUCUUCCAGGGAAGGGUGGGGCCACUUCCAUCCUCAGGAAUCUGAGUUUUGGGAGGAAUUUUCACCCCCGGCAGAGAGUUUCGCUUCCUCCUCUCCCUAAACUAAAAUGAUCCAGGAGAGCAGGUUACCUCUUGGCCAUAGGCAGGUGUCCAGGUACUACCAGAAGAUAGCAACUCCGCUAAAGAUUGGUGGGUAAUAAAUACUUGCUGCAGAGUAUCAGCAACCCUGAAAUUUCAGGCUUUUAUCUUUCAUUCUAACCUAUAGCAUAAUUGGCAAAAGCAAUACAUAUGUAAUAAUAGCAAACAUUAGUUAUCUAUUAUAUUAUCUCAUCUUCGUGGAAACCCCAUAUUAUCAUGAAUCCCAUUUUAUAGAUGAGGAAGCUGAGUCUUGGUGAUGUUAGAUGUCUUACCUAGGGGCACUCAUAGCUAGUAGCAACAGAGCCAGGAAUCUAGGAUGCCAACUGAGGCAGAGACCAUAGAAGGAAAAAAUCAUUAUAUCAUAGUGUCAACAUGGCUAUUGACAUUAUUUUAUCUAGUACAGUAAUAUUUUUUAUGAAAAAUUUCUUAAAUAACAUUUAACCAGAAGCCAGUUGGAAAUGUGGUUCCCCCAACAUUAAAUUCAAGGUUGGGGUUUCACCUCCAUCACUGAGUCUGAGGCAGGACGGAAGCUGUAAUGCUCAUGUCAGAAAUCUGUUGUUUUCUCAAGUUUAGCUUCUGAGAAAUUUGCAGACCUGUAAGAGAUGAAAACCAGGGACCUUUCAAAGUAUGAUUGCUUACUUUUCAAUUUCCAUCUUUCAAGUAGUCUAAUACUUCCUGGGACAAAUAGAGUUUACUAUGGAAAUGUCUUCUUUGAAGAUGCAAUUUAGAGACAGACUUCUUGUACCCUCAUUUACGAAUGCAUUGUCAACAAAUUGCAUGUAUUUAUUCAACUUGUCCAAAUAAAAGCCAAAUAAGGCUCAGAAAUCAAUUUUUUGGCAAUUUGAGUUUCUGAGGCAGGGAGUAUAGGAAAGACCUUGUGGGUAUAUUCUCCUUGGUUAAAAAUUGAGUCAAACAAAAGGGCAAGAGGAAAUCUGGAAGGGUGAUAGACAUGUUUAUUUUCUUGAUUGUGGUGAUGGUUUCAUGGGUAUGUACAUCAAUUAAAAUUUAUUAAAUUGCACACUUUAAAUAGGUGCAGUUUAUUGUAUGUCAAUUAUACCUCAA